RNAcentral lists this ribosomal RNA (650 nucleotides) under Escherichia coli. Its description in RNAcentral is "bacterial SSU rRNA". It matches the Rfam family "Bacterial small subunit ribosomal RNA", at positions 895 to 1533 of the family's 1533-position model. The record is from RNAcentral. RNAcentral also lists the same sequence under 2 other names. Lineage: Bacteria; Pseudomonadati; Pseudomonadota; Gammaproteobacteria; Enterobacterales; Enterobacteriaceae.
UAAAACUCAAAUGAAUUGACGGGGGCCCGCACAAGCGGUGGAGCAUGUGGUUUAAUUCGAUGCAACGCGAAGAACCUUACCUGGUCUUGACAUCCACGGAAGUUUUCAGAGAUGAGAAUGUGCCUUCGGGAACCGUGAGACAGGUGCUGCAUGGCUGUCGUCAGCUCGUGUUGUGAAAUGUUGGGUUAAGUCCCGCAACGAGCGCAACCCUUAUCCUUUGUUGCCAGCGGUCCGGCCGGGAACUCAAAGGAGACUGCCAGUGAUAAACUGGAGGAAGGUGGGGAUGACGUCAAGUCAUCAUGGCCCUUACGACCAGGGCUACACACGUGCUACAAUGGCGCAUACAAAGAGAAGCGACCUCGCGAGAGCAAGCGGACCUCAUAAAGUGCGUCGUAGUCCGGAUUGGAGUCUGCAACUCGACUCCAUGAAGUCGGAAUCGCUAGUAAUCGUGGAUCAGAAUGCCACGGUGAAUACGUUCCCGGGCCUUGUACACACCGCCCGUCACACCAUGGGAGUGGGUUGCAAAAGAAGUAGGUAGCUUAACCUUCGGGAGGGCGCUUACCACUUUGUGAUUCAUGACUGGGGUGAAGUCGUAACAAGGUAACCGUAGGGGAACCUGCGGUUGGAUCACCUCCUUACCUUAAAGAAGC